Molecule: non-coding RNA, 74 nt
Organism: Podarcis lilfordi (Lilford's wall lizard)
Lineage: Eukaryota; Metazoa; Chordata; Lepidosauria; Squamata; Lacertidae
Source: the annotation of a GenBank genome assembly
UAAGAUGGCUUGGUCAGAAGAGCAUGAGACUCUUAUUCUUAGGGUCAUGGGUUUGAGCCCCAAAAUGGGCAGAA